CCUACGGGAGGCAGCAGUGAGGAAUAUUGGUCAAUGGGCGCGAGCCUGAACCAGCCAAGUAGCGUGAAGGAUGACUGCCCUACGGGUUGUAAACUUCUUUUAUAAAGGAAUAAAGUGAGGCACGUGUGCCUUUUUGUAUGUACUUUAUGAAUAAGGAUCGGCUAACUCCGUGCCAGCAGCCGCGGUAAUACGGAGGAUCCGAGCGUUAUCCGGAUUUAUUGGGUUUACGGGGGGCGUAGAUGGGGUGUUGAGUCAGGUGUGAAAGUUUGCGGCUCAACCGGAAAAGUGCAAUGGAUACGGGCAGGGUGGAGUGCAGGUGAGGUAGGCGGAAGGCGGGGGGUAGCGGUGAAAUGCUUAGAU
RNAcentral lists this ribosomal RNA (360 nucleotides) under uncultured bacterium. RNAcentral describes it as "partial 16S ribosomal RNA". It matches the Rfam family "Bacterial small subunit ribosomal RNA", at positions 338 to 695 of the family's 1533-position model. The record is from RNAcentral.